Molecule: ribosomal RNA, 519 nt
Filed under: uncultured bacterium
Lineage: Bacteria
Description: bacterial SSU rRNA
Rfam family: Bacterial small subunit ribosomal RNA
Source: RNAcentral
AGGUAAAGGCUCACCAAGGCGACGAUCAGUAGCGGGUCUGAGAGGAUGAUCCGCCACACUGGGACUGAGACACGGCCCAGACUCCUACGGGAGGCAGCAGUGGGGAAUUUUGGACAAUGGGCGAAAGCCUGAUCCAGCCAUGCCGCGUGUCUGAAGAAGGCCUUCGGGUUGUAAAGGACUUUUGUCAGGGAGCAAAACUUACUGGUUAAUACCCGGUGAGGCUGAGAGUACCUGAAGAAUAAGCACCGGCUAACUACGUGCCAGCAGCCGCGGUAAUACGUAGGGUGCAAGCGUUAAUCGGAAUUACUGGGCGUAAAGCGUGCGCAGGCGGACUUUUAAGCCAGAUGUGAAAGCCCCGAGCUUAACUUGGGAAUUGCGUUUGGAACUGGGAGUCUAGAGUCUGUCAGAGGGGGAUGGAAUUCCACGUGUAGCAGUGAAAUGCGUAGAGAUGUGGAGGAACACCGAUGGCGAAGGCAGUCCCCUGGGAUAAGACUGACGCUCAUGCACGAAAGCGUGGGG